UACGUAGGGGGCAAGCGUUGUCCGGAAUCAUUGGGCGUAAAGAGCGUGUAGGCGGCCCGGUAAGUCCGCUGUGAAAGUCCAGGGCUCAACCCUGGGAUGCCGGUGGAUACUGUCGGGCUCGAGUCCGGAAGAGGAGUGUGGAAUUCCUAGUGUAGCGGUGAAAUGCGUAGAGAUUAGGAAGAACACCAGUGGCGAAGGCGACUUACUGGACUGUAACUGACACUGAGGCAUGAAAGCGUGGGGAGCAAACAGG
Molecule: ribosomal RNA, 253 nt
Filed under: uncultured bacterium
Lineage: Bacteria
Description: partial 16S ribosomal RNA
Rfam family: Bacterial small subunit ribosomal RNA
Source: RNAcentral